Molecule: ribosomal RNA, 337 nt
Filed under: uncultured Penicillium
Lineage: Eukaryota; Fungi; Ascomycota; Eurotiomycetes; Eurotiales; Aspergillaceae
Description: SSU rRNA
Rfam family: Eukaryotic small subunit ribosomal RNA
Source: RNAcentral
AAUUCCAGCUCCAAUAGCGUAUAUUAAAGUUGUUGCAGUUAAAAAGCUCGUAGUUGAACCUUGGGCCUGGCUGGCCGGUCCGCCUCACCGCGAGUACUGGUCCGGCUGGGCCUUUCCUUCUGGGGAACCUCAUGGCCUUCACUGGCUGUGGGGGGAACCAGGACUUUUACUGUGAAAAAAUUAGAGUGUUCAAAGCAGGCCUUUGCUCGAAUACAUUAGCAUGGAAUAAUAGAAUAGGACGUGUGGUUCUAUUUUGUUGGUUUCUAGGACCGCCGUAAUGAUUAAUAGGGAUAGUCGGGGGCGUCAGUAUUCAGCUGUCAGAGGNAAAUCUGAUGGU